CUGGUGUACCAGUUGUUCCGCCAGGAGCAUAGCUGGGUAGCUACGUGUGGCAAGGAUAAGUGCUGAAAGCAUCUAAGCAUGAAGCCCCCCUCAAGAUGAGACUUCCCAUCACUUCGAGUGAGUAAGAUCCCUCAGAGACGAUGAGGUUGAUAGGUCCGAGGUGGAAGCGUGGUGACACGUGUAGCUGACGGAUACUAAUAGAUCGAGGACUUAACUAA
RNAcentral lists this ribosomal RNA (218 nucleotides) under Virgibacillus subterraneus. RNAcentral describes it as "partial 23S rRNA. Bacterial LSU". It matches the Rfam family "Bacterial large subunit ribosomal RNA", at positions 2709 to 2925 of the family's 2925-position model. The record is from RNAcentral. Lineage: Bacteria; Bacillati; Bacillota; Bacilli; Caryophanales; Bacillaceae.